RNAcentral lists this ribosomal RNA (546 nucleotides) under Triticum aestivum (bread wheat). RNAcentral's name for it is "partial small subunit ribosomal RNA". Lineage: Eukaryota; Viridiplantae; Streptophyta; Magnoliopsida; Poales; Poaceae. The record is from RNAcentral.
AUGGAUGUUCAUGGGGUAUUUGACAUGUCACAAGCUCAAGGGGCGCACAUACAAGAAAGCUUUCUGCCUAACUCACUUAGCUCUGUUCAAAUGAAAGAGGCAUCUUCUGAGAAGAAACGGCGUCGCAUGAGAGAACAAUAUGAUCAAAUGACGCCGGAAGAAAGAGAAGUUGUCUUGCAGAGGAAACGUGUGCAUAAGAUGGGAAAACGCCAUGCAUCAUCUGAACAGUCCUACAUUGCUGAGCCAACAGGUGGAUCUGCAGUCCCCUCACCAAUUACACAUGCCAUUGAUCUUACAUGUUGCCACGGCAAUGGUGAAGAGUCCUAUGAUGCUGGAAUAUUAGAGCCUAUGGAGCCCCCCGCCGAAGUGGACGAAUUCUUGCACGACACACAGGAUGGGCAACCGGUGUAUGAUGAUGAUGAUGAAUGCAGGAUAUUUACUGGACAAGGUGAUGAGUUUGAAUCAUACAGAAUGACACCUAAUGUUUCACAUCAUGCUUUUGCGGCUGAUGAUCCUUAUGACUAUGUCUACAAGAAUCUACCAACU